UUCAACUGCUGUGAACUUCAAUUGCAAUGGGAAGAAUAAGAAGAAGAAUAAGUAUAGAUGGAUGAAUAGAGUGGGUUCUAAUAAUGUUGAAGAGAUUCAUCUUAGUAAAAAUUGGUUGAAAGCUUAUCUCAGUUCCUUUCUCAUCAGUGUGUUAAUAUAUUUCUGGUUGAAGUUAUAAAUGUACGGUUGUCAUUGUCCACCAGUAACUAGCCUCUAUGAGUAGCUAGAGCUUUGCUUGCAUGUUUCAUUAGAACCAACUAUAUUGCUUCAUUGUGGUUCCUUUAUUUCUUUGUAUGUUUGCGUAUCUUUAAGGAUCCAAAGGAACCAUCUUAUCCAAACAAAAUCCAAAGCACCCACCAAGAGCAGUAUAUUGCUUGACCACAAACUUGCAUUAUAGGAAAUGACCUUUCAUCAAUACACCGGAAAUAGCUGACUUUAAUAGAUAAGUGUGUUUCCUUUCUCUUGUUUCAUUAGAGUUGCCCAGGUGUCUUCUCUUAUGUGUAGUUUCAUAACAGCGUGGAUGCAUUGUAAAUAGCAGUUUCAACUUCUAUGUGAACAAGACUUGGCUAUUGCUCAUGAAAGUGAUGGUACCUUUAAUAGGAAAAGACUUAACAGCUUGCCUGAGUUUCAGUAGAUUAAUUAUUAUUAAGC
RNAcentral lists this long non-coding RNA (651 nucleotides) under Nicotiana benthamiana. Its description in RNAcentral is "long non-coding RNA (NBEN_LNC021720)". Lineage: Eukaryota; Viridiplantae; Streptophyta; Magnoliopsida; Solanales; Solanaceae. The record is from RNAcentral.